Molecule: small RNA, 177 nt
Filed under: Anas platyrhynchos platyrhynchos (common mallard)
Lineage: Eukaryota; Metazoa; Chordata; Aves; Anseriformes; Anatidae
Description: TUC338 (ENSAPLG00000030859.1)
Source: RNAcentral
CUGCCUGUUGUAGAAACCAACCCCUCCGCUUAUCCACAGGCUAAGCACGGCUCAGACACGCGGCGUCUGAGCUCCCCGCACAGUCACGGCGGUGAACUUAGGCUUGAACGGGAGGAAUUGCCUCUCUGCAAGAUGAGAGGGGAUUCAUUUUCCAUGCUAGCUCUUUCCUGGGGGGCU